This 337-nucleotide unclassified non-coding RNA is filed under the name soil metagenome. Its description in RNAcentral is "partial contains 5.8S ribosomal RNA, internal transcribed spacer 2, and large subunit ribosomal RNA". The stretch from base 1 to 120 matches the Rfam family "5.8S ribosomal RNA", at positions 35 to 154 of the family's 154-position model. The record is from RNAcentral.
GAUGAAGAACGUAGCGAAAUGCGAUAAGUAGUGUGAAUUGCAGAAUUCAGUGAAUCAUCGAAUCUUUGAACGCACAUUGCGCCCCAUGGUAUUCCGUGGGGCAUGCCUGUUCGAGCGUCAUUUACCCCCUCAAGCUCCGCUUGGUGUUGGGCGUCUGUCCCGCUUCGCGCGCGGACUCGCCCCAAAGGUAUUGGCAGCGGUCGUGCCAGCUUCUCGCGCAGCACAUUGCGCUUCUCGAGGCACCGGUGGGCCCGCAUCCAUCAAGCUCACCCCCCCAGUUUGACCUCGGAUCAGGUAGGGAUACCCGCUGAACUUAAGCAUAUCAAUAAGCGGAGGA